UACUUGAAGGGGGAACGGGGGGGGGAAUGAGACAAAAGCGUCUACCCUGGAGCCCACGUGGUAAGGAUGGCUACAGCAUUUUGCGCAUGUGUGAUGCGAAAGCUGCGUUAAGUACCGGUGAAGAACCAGGCUGCGAUGAUUGUCAGGUUUCAUUUGUGUUCUCUAUCGAGCCAUCAAUGAAGAAGCAUAUUUGUUUGCCUCCAGUAAAAAAACAUCACCACAGCUUCCCUGAAUCCUGAACGGAACAUUGGUAAAGAUGUUUAUGCUGUGUUACUUCUCACCAACAAUUAGAGAGUUCCAGGUGACAACAGCCCUGUGAGGCAAUUCACACUUCUGUCCUGGAGAAGACUGAAAAAUGGAGUUCAGCAUGAAUUGUUUUCCAAAGAACUGUGAAGACUUAAAGAGCUCUCCUCUUUCCUUGGAAGGACCACCAUUAACAGUAGCAUAAAGCUGUUUGCUUCUCCAUUCUGUAUAAUUACUCUUUUUCUCUUAUUCUGUGACAAAGCAAUCUUCUUGAACUAAACUUUCUGUAAAAUUCUUCAUCCUUCUAGUGUUUUUAAGAUUAAUCUUUUUGUUUGUUUCUGAGACCAUGCUUGUGGCUCUGUCUGAUGAGCUUUGCAUAGACAUAGGAUCCUGUUGAUUCCUUGGGUCUUUGACCUUCAAUAAUGUUGGUCAUUAGAUGCUAAUAACUAACCUGUGGGGCUUGAUGGUUAAAUGGUGGGCAAGACACUCCUGGGGUUGGUUUUGAGUAGUUGUGCUAGUUUCGCCUGUAGAAGACCACAGAAGUUAGUGAUGGAUGAGAGCUUAUUUAAUCUACAGUGCCUUCCUUGCAGAAUCACCCUGGGUUUUAAAGAAUCAGCCUGGGUUUUAACACUUGAGAUAUAUGUUUUUAGGAUACUCUGUAGUUGUGAAUGUAAUUUUUUUAAACUGUUUUUAAUAAUAUGUUUUAUAUUGUUGUGACCUGCCCUGGGACCUACUGGUAAGGGUGGGUAAUAAAUUUGAUGAUCGUUGUCGUCAUUAUCUCUCAGGGUUCCAUCUCAUCGGUCCUUCUUUACUUCUAAUGUUUAUUAUGCUAUUUAUACCAG
This is a long non-coding RNA of Rhineura floridana, 1085 nucleotides long. RefSeq lists it as uncharacterized. The transcript has 6 exons. Lineage: Eukaryota; Metazoa; Chordata; Lepidosauria; Squamata; Rhineuridae. The record is from RefSeq and is a predicted model, not a curated record.